CCUUGAGCAAGCAGAAAAGGAUAAAUCAAGUCUUAAUUUAGAAGAUUAUGAGAAGCUUAAAACUAAAGUUGCUGAAGUAUUGGAAGAGAAGACACAAGUAGAGGAGAAGAAACAGAUUAUUACUGAAGAUUAUGAGAAACUUAAAGUCAAGGUAGCU
This 157-nucleotide long non-coding RNA is filed under the name Amphimedon queenslandica. Its description in RNAcentral is "uncharacterized LOC109583315". Lineage: Eukaryota; Metazoa; Porifera; Demospongiae; Haplosclerida; Niphatidae. The record is from RNAcentral.